RNAcentral lists this ribosomal RNA (203 nucleotides) under Priestia megaterium. Its description in RNAcentral is "Bacillus megaterium partial 16S ribosomal RNA". It matches the Rfam family "Bacterial small subunit ribosomal RNA", at positions 1 to 197 of the family's 1533-position model. Lineage: Bacteria; Bacillati; Bacillota; Bacilli; Caryophanales; Bacillaceae. The record is from RNAcentral.
UUCUUCGGAGAGUUUGAUCCUGGCUCAGGAUGAACGCUGGCGGCGUGCCUAAUACAUGCAAGUCGAGCGAACUGAUUAGAAGCUUGCUUCUAUGACGUUAGCGGCGGACGGGUGAGUAACACGUGGGCAACCUGCCUGUAAGACUGGGAUAACUUCGGGAAACCGAAGCUAAUACCGGAUAGGAUCUUCUCCUUCAUGGGAGA